This 2330-nucleotide long non-coding RNA is filed under the name Lactuca sativa (garden lettuce). RNAcentral describes it as "long non-coding RNA (LSAT_LNC000746)". The record is from RNAcentral. Lineage: Eukaryota; Viridiplantae; Streptophyta; Magnoliopsida; Asterales; Asteraceae.
GACCAAGUUUAUGUAUGGAUACAUAAAGAGUUGGGCCACAUGAACCAUGGAUCAUAAAACCCAUGGGUAUGGAUUUGGUUAUACCCAUGACCCUUGGAAUCCACAUAUAUAAAUACAUGCAUCAUGACCUAAAAAACUACCACCCAUAUACACUUGACGUGUUCUUGUAGAUCAUGGUGGUUUUUGGUGCAUGGAGUUUCUUUCUCAAGAGUCACCUUUGUUCUAGGUGAGUUGUGAUUCCAUUUGAGGUGCAAAACUUGGGGCACUGAGUUCUUAAAGGCCAAAGUCUUUCUUGUAACACCAAAUACAUCAAGACUUCAAGCCACAUAAAAGGUAUGUUACUCUACCUAGUAUCAUGUUUUGUUUAUGUCAAAUUGCAUGCUAGUUAUAGGAUUAAUACCUUGGUAACGCCUUUGCAUGUAUAAUUAGUGAAAAAAUAGAUCCAAGCUAUUUAGGGUUGUAUGUGCACCAUAGGAUGUUGUAGUAUACAAAACCCAUCAGUGGUAUCAGAGACAAGGCUUGUUUUCAAUUAUACUUGAUGCAAAUUGCUAAAAAAAUCGAAUUUUUGGUUGUCUGGACAAUGGACUCGCCGAGUCCACUGACAGACUCGUCGAGUAGCAUGCAUUUUGCCUUGACCUCACCGAGUUCACUAGUGGACUCGCCCAAUCUAAGUACAAAUCUGACCAACUCGCCGAGUUAGUUCAUGUACUCGACAAGUUGCUGCUCCAGAGAGCAAUUUUUCGACUUUUAAGCUUCGAAUUGGACUAGGAACAUUACCCAAAGUUGUUUUUGAACAUAUAAACCUGUUUUUAUGAUGUGGUAAUGUUCAUGCUAAUCCAAUUCAAAAGAUAAUUGUCAAAAGUUUCAUGUUUUUUAUUAGUUUAAUGGUUAGGCUAAUUACAUGAAAAUUGUUUGAUUUGAAUUGUCUUAUUCAUAUGAGUUUAAUCUAAAUCAUAAUUUUCUUGACAUGCUUGUUAGUUCAAUUGAUCAUCUUGAUGUUUUUUUUAAUGAAUUCCAUAACUUGUCCUCAAGUUAUGGAAAACCAAAAGUUUUGUGUGUUAAAUCUUCAUUAAACUCAUAGGUUACACAAUUAAAGAGUCUUUUUCCUCAUAAAUAGUUUUAUGAACUCCAUAACUUGUCCUCAAGUUAGGAUGUUCAAAAGCCUCUUCAUUAAAGGUUUUAAAUCCUACAUUAAACUCAUAUGUUAUGGAAUUGAAAAGUUUUUGAAUUGUCAAAACUUGCCCUAAAGUUUUGAAAUUUGUAAAGUUCCCUCCCCCCCCCCAUGAAUACUUUAAUUCCAAUUUAAACCCUUAGAAUUUUAAAAGUCUAAAAUUCAACCAUUAUGCUAUUAUAGUAUUAUAGGUUUAGUAUUUAUACAUAUGUAUAAGAGCAAGUCAGUCUUACCGUUAGUAGGUCUCAUUCAUGAAACCAGUCUAUAAGGGGGUAUAAGGUUACUAUAAGAUAUAAUAUAUUAAUAUGAAAUCAUAUGUUUUAAUUAGUAUUGAUGAAUUAAUUUGGAAUUAAUUUAUUGAUCAAAAGAGACUAAUUAAAUCUAUGGGGACUAAUUAUGGUAAUUAGUUAUAUUCGUAUGUGUUGGACUUAUGAUCCAUGUUUGACCAAGUUUAUGUAUGGAUACAUAAAGAGUUGGGCCACAUGAACCAUGGAUCAUAAAACCCAUGGGUAUGGAUUUGGUUAUACCCAUGACCCUUGGAAUCCACAUAUAUAAAUACAUGCAUCAUGACCUAAAAAAUGCCACCAAUAUACACUUGACAUGUUCUUGGAGUUCAUGGUGGUUUUUCGUGCAUGGAGUUUCUCUCUCAAGAGUCACCUUUGUUCUAGGUGAGUUGUGAUUCCAUUUGAGGUGCAACACUUGGGGCAUUAUGUUCUUAAAGGCCAAAGUCUUUCUAGUAACACCAAAUACAUCAAGACUUCAAGCAACAUAAAAGGUAUGUUACUCUAACUAGUAUCUUGUAUUGUUUAUGUCAAAUUGCAUGCUAGUUAUAGGCUUAAUACCUUGUAAACACCUUUGCAUGUAUAAUUACUGAAAACAUAGAUCCAAGGUAUUUAGGGUUAUAUAUGCACCAUAGGAUGUUGUAGUAUACAAAAACCAUCAGUGGUAUCAGAGCCAAGGCCUGUUUUCAAUUAUACUUGAUGAAAAUUGCAGAAAAAAUGGAAUUUUGGUUGUCUGGAUAGUGGACUCGCCGAGACCACUGACAGACUCAUCGAGUAGCAUGCAUUUUUCCUUGGACUCACCGAGUCCGCUGGUGGACUCGCCGAGCCCAAGUAUAAAUCUUACCAACUCGCCAAGUUAGUUCAUGUACUCGAUGAGU